UUCCCUACGGGGGGCUGCAGUGGGGAAUAUUGCGCAAUGGGGGAAACCCUGACGCAGCGACGCCGCGUGAGCGAAGAAGGCCUUAGGGUUGUAAAGCUCUGUUUUAAGGGACGAAUGUUACGGGGAGUAAUAUGCCCUGUAAAUGACGGUACCUUAAGAGGAAGCCCCGGCUAACUACGUGCCAGCAGCCGCGGUAAGACGUAGGGGGCGAGCGUUGUCCGGAAUUACUGGGCGUAAAGAGCACGUAGGCGGGAACUUAAGGCAGGGGUGAAAGACCGGGGCUCAACUCCGGGGUGGCACUUGAAACUGGGUUUCUUGAGGGCAGGAGAGGAAAGCAGAAUUCCUGGUGUAGCGGUGAAAUGCGUAGAAAUCAGGAGGAAUACCAGUGGCGAAGGCGGCUUUCUGGACUGACCCUGACGCUGAGGUGCGAAAGCGUGGGUAGCAAACAGGAUUAGAUACCCUGGUAGUCGC
Molecule: ribosomal RNA, 471 nt
Filed under: uncultured Syntrophomonas sp.
Lineage: Bacteria; Bacillati; Bacillota; Clostridia; Eubacteriales; Syntrophomonadaceae
Description: bacterial SSU rRNA
Rfam family: Bacterial small subunit ribosomal RNA
Source: RNAcentral